This is a long non-coding RNA of Cyprinus carpio (common carp), 1157 nucleotides long. NCBI's taxonomy places the organism in Eukaryota, Metazoa, Chordata, Actinopteri, Cypriniformes, Cyprinidae. The record is from Ensembl.
AUGUCCUUCCUGAAAGAGAUCAGCCUGUUAAUGAAGAACUAUUAUCUAUCGGGGAAUGAUGUUUUAUCGAGACGCGCAGAACAGAUCACAGCUGAAAUACAACAGGGUGAGAGAAGAAACUAUAAUGAGGUGCUUGAUUUGUCUUCUGGAGAUCUGCACAGAGGAGGAAUAAAACCAUCACUUUUGUUCAUCAAGGGGGGGAAAGCUUUAUUUAUAUCAGUCAGACAACAGAAAUAACACAUUGAAAAAAUAUGAUUAAAAGUAUUUUUUACAUAAAAAACUAUUAUUGAUCAUGAUUAAUAAUAAUAAUAAUAAUAUCAAUAAUAUAUAUGAACUAAAUUAGUGAUUUCCAUCAACACAAACAGAGGUUGAGAAAACCACAGAAACAGUGUCACUCAGCAGAACUCUCUCUCUCUCUCUCUCUCUCUCACACACACACACACACACACACACACUUAUCUUACUAUCUAUAUGAGGAUUUGUUACACAUUUAUUCUGACAUUAUUUCACUGACAGAAGUUCAGCUGCAGUAUAAAUGUCAUGAAGAGACUCUAUAAUAUCUCACUGUUACUGAUUCAUCAUGCAGUUCAAAGCAUUAUGGGUAGAAUCUCUCAUCAGUCUAUUCUGAUUCUUUAACACAGUUUAACUGAUCCAGACCAAACAUAAAACCCAGGAUAGAGCGGCUGAGUGAAUGUGGUCUGGACUGUGUGGAUGAGGCUCAUUGUGUCAGAGACGCUGUAGAAGGACAGAGUUCCUGCACUGUGAUCCACAAACACUCCUAUUCUACUGCUGAUGGGUGUCACAGAGAGAACAGUCUUUAUCUUAUUGUGUCUGAAUGAGUAACUGGAGGAAGAGCAGCACAAACUCCAUGACUGAUCAUUAGAUCCAAACACACACUCAUCACCCAAUCCCUUCCUGCUGAUGCUCUUAUAUGACACUGAUAUACGCACACCAUUAUCUCCACUCCACUUAAUCUCCCAGUAACAGCGUCCACACACACUCUCUCUACACAACACCUGAUACACAUCAAAUCUGUCUGGAUGAUCAGGAUACGACUGAACUCUGAGAGUGUUAGUAAUCACUCUGUUGCUCUCAGACAGACGGAGGUAUUGAUUCACUGUGUUCAGAUCCAGAGUGAGCUGACGGGAAUCUGAUGG